UUUGGCGGUGGAAAGGGGCAGCGAGCAAAUUUUCUCGAGAGGAGAAAGAGAGAGGAAACGGGGACUGCUCGUUCCUCCCAUUUUUUUCCUCCCAUUUUUCGCGUCCAAAACCCCCUGAUUCUCUGGAAAUUCUCUACAACUUUCCCGGUCCACACAGCAAGCAAGUUCUCCAUUUCUUUCUCUUCAGCUUUUAUACAAAGGCGGCAGAAGCAACCCAGCACCUCGAGUCGACGCCGGGGGACGCCUCAGCCAUGCCGUUGCACGUACCGUCGCCACCAUCAACCUCGCCUCUGUUCCAUGGAGUCACGAUUGUCGUUCAUGAGGACCCAAGGCAAGUAGACAUUCCCCAUUCUAUCCUAUGUCGAUCGAUUGUUGUUUGAUGAGUAUAGUUUUCUAGAAAUUCAAAAACGUUGUUCAGAACUUUGUUUUUUUUUUUUUGAACAGGUUCAGAACUUUGUUUAAUCGGGACGUUACUUAGCUAUGUUAUUGAGUUUGAAGUAAUUGAGCUUAUGGUUAGAUUGUAAGGGCAUAGACGGUUGAUAUUUAGCACAUGUGGGGGCUGAGCUAGUUGAAAUUUUGAAUUAAAUCCAUGCUAGGGUUGAGGGCAGGUUUGGUUUUAGUCCAACUCCUAAGAUUUCUAAUUUUGUACCAUGAGGCGUUCUUCAUGAAAGUCAUCUCUUGUUGGCUGUUUUACAACAUACUUUAAUUUCAGAAUUUGUAGACUUCGUAUGGAAAAACUAUAUUUAAAAAAUUUCAGGAUUCAAAACCUGUUUUUGGGUCAGCUAGACUGAUCUCUUGCUAUUUUUCAUUUUCUACAGAUUUUUGGACCAGAAUUCUAAAAUGCAUCGUUAUGAAAGUUGUAUAGUAUAUCUUAGGCUACCACAUAUUAAAUUUUUAAAAAAAUUCGGUCUCAUUUGGCUGGGGAAAUAUUUAUUUUCCUACUCAAUUUCGUUAUGGAAAUUUUGACUGUUUUGGGCUUGGUUUGCAAAAAUUAUUUAGAACUGUAUGAGCUGAAUCUGACUUUGAGUCCUCAUAAAAAAUGUUCCUCUAGGUCUUGGCUACCUCAUAUUAAAGUUUCAUAAUUUUUAAAAACCGUUUAGUGAGACAAUAGCCAUCGUUCCUAAAGGUUCGUGAGACGCCUUAUAAGGCUAGUUGAGGCCUAGGAGGUUAGACCUUCCUACAGUCCACUCGAUAUCUGUAUGGAUGAGUUUAUAUUAGUCCAAGGGAUGAAAAUGAUUGAUGAUUCAUUAGAUACAUGCUUGAAUCCCUAAAUAAUAGUGAUGUUAACAUACCUUUAAUUAAAUUAUGGAAUUACUCAAUCAUGGUGUGAAUAUGUGACUGGGAAUAUCAUCGGUCCUUGGGACGACAAUGCCUUGGGUUGUAGUAGGGAUGCUUGGAGAGAUAGCUAGGUUCCUCUAGAUGCCUGGGGGUGUAACAUCGUUCCCCAUGUCUCGUGAUGCCGAAUAGGUGCAAGAUGCCCAGGAGUAAUGGGGUUUCUUGAAUGAUGAUGACAAUAUGAAAUUAUAUUUGAUUAUGACUUUGGUAUUUCUAAAUUGAAUUACUGGUUAUCUAUUGGGAAAAUUUAUUACCUGUAUUGGUCGGUCAUGUAUUUUGAAAAGGUUCUCAGGUAAGUUGUUGUGUAUGUGAUUUACUAAAGUUUCUAUUGUGACUUUCUUUGUGAGUACGGUGAUUGAUUUGUGCAGUAUAAACCAAUGGAUCUUUUGCUUGCUAAGUUGUGAUUCAUUGGUUGUUGACUUCAUUUUUUCAGAUCAAUAUAAUGUUGAUCUCACCUACCUUCCCAAUGGUCCGUUACGGGGUGCUGGUAGACUUCACGUGGGAGGAGGACAGCUUCAUUGAGAUAUGCACCCAUGUCGUACGGUGGGUCCACUCCCACUAUUCUUUGAUGGGUCAUGAUGCAGAGUCAAUCUUGUAGCAUAGAAAGGAGGUGGGGGGAAGUAGGAUUUUUGGAGUUGUGAGGAUUUUGAUGGUAUCUAAGGGCUAAGGUUAGGCAACACUUGUAUAGUUAGGUGGGAAUGAGUGAUCGGCGUACGGUCGUCUAGUGUACUCAGUAGUAUUGACCUUUUGAAUUCCCUAGAGUAACCCACUUGUCGUCGAGGUUACCUCCAUCUCUUGGCCCAUCAGAGAACAGUGGGAGUGAACUCACUGUGCGUCUGUUGACACAGGCGUACAUCCUGAUGAACCCAAGGGUGACUUGCCUCAUUGGGGCCUUACAUCAACGACCAUAUGUGACUUGAUUCGAAUAAAGACAAUAUUUGGAAAAUCAGGAUCUAUGAACUUGUCCUCCUCCCAUGUGAAAUCUACCGACACUCGUAACGAACCACUGGGGAAGCAGGUGGGAAGCAGGAUUUUUGGAGCUGGGAAGAUUUUGAUGGUGUUAAGGGCAAGAAGGUGGGAAGUAGGAUUUUUGGAGCUGGGAAGAUUUUGAUGGUGUUAAGGGCAAGAACCAGGUGGAGAUUCAG
This 2480-nucleotide long non-coding RNA is filed under the name Eucalyptus grandis. RNAcentral's name for it is "long non-coding RNA (EGRA_LNC003841)". Lineage: Eukaryota; Viridiplantae; Streptophyta; Magnoliopsida; Myrtales; Myrtaceae. The record is from RNAcentral.